Molecule: ribosomal RNA, 385 nt
Filed under: uncultured eukaryote
Lineage: Eukaryota
Description: SSU rRNA
Rfam family: Eukaryotic small subunit ribosomal RNA
Source: RNAcentral
AGCUCCAAUAACGUAUAUUAAAGUUGUUGCAAUUGAAAAGCUCAUAGUUGGAUUUAUGGUGGGAGGGAUUGGUCCAGCACUAAUUGUGGUAAUUUGUAUCCUCUCUGACCAUCCUUGAGUGGAUCUUAUCUGGCAUUAAGAUGCCAGUCAGGGGAUGACCAUUGUUUACUACGAAAAAAAUUAGAGUGUUCAAAGCAGGCUUAUACCAUUGAAUAUAUUAGAAUGGAAUAAUAAGAUAGGGACCUGGUACUAUUUUGUUAGUUUGUGUACUGAGGUAAUGAUCAAUAGGGAAAGUUGGGGGUAUUUGUAUUCAGUAUUCAGUGGUGAAAUACUUAAACCUACGAAAGACACACUACUGCAAAAGCAUUUACCAAGGAUAUUUUCA